CAUUUUGCACAAUUAAAAUCCUAGUAAAAAAAAAGAUAAAGAUAUACAAAACUCAUCUCAAUUAUAGAUCAUUUUGAAACAGCUAUCGAACCUUUCAAUUUUGUUUUAUUUGAGUCAGUCAACGAUAUUUCGACUUCAAAUUUUAAACUAAAUACUUACUUUAAUAAAUUUAUAAUAGUGGAAUUAGAUGAUGUGUACUAAUUAAAUUUGUAAUGGUUAAUAGCGCAUUUAAAUUUUAAAAUCAAACUAUCAUUACU
RNAcentral lists this long non-coding RNA (257 nucleotides) under Ananas comosus (pineapple). RNAcentral describes it as "long non-coding RNA (ACOM_LNC008701)". Lineage: Eukaryota; Viridiplantae; Streptophyta; Magnoliopsida; Poales; Bromeliaceae. The record is from RNAcentral.